Non-coding RNA from Sus scrofa (pig), 2932 nucleotides. The record is from RefSeq and is a predicted model, not a curated record. Lineage: Eukaryota; Metazoa; Chordata; Mammalia; Artiodactyla; Suidae.
AUCAUCAUUAUUUUUUUGAGCAAACUGUUGUCUGUCAGAUAAAUCAAAAAUAAGAAAGUAAAAGUUAUUUUACCUUCGCUUAUGCCUUCUCUUAUGUUCUUUCUUCAUAUAGUUUCAAGUUUCUGAUUUAUAUCAUUUUUCUUCCCUCUAAAGAACUUCUUUUAACAUUUCUUGCAAGGAGGCUCUGCUGGCAUCAAACUUCCUUGAUUUUCAUCUUUUUUUCUCCUUCACUCUUGAAAGAUAAUUUUUCAGGGUACAGAUUGGUUUACCUUUUUCUCUCCGUACUUUAAAUAUUUCACUCAAUGCUCUUCUUGCUUCUGUGGUUUCUGAGAAGCUAGAUGGAAUUCUUACUUUUGCUUCCUCUGCUUUCUUUCAAAUUUUUUUUCUUUAAUUUUCUCUUGUUUGAAAAUGAUAUGCCUGUGCGUAAUUUUGAUUGUUUGUUUCUGUAUGUUUCUGCUUGGUGUUCCUUGAGCUCCCUGCACCUUGUUUGGUAUCUGACAUUAAUUAGUGAAAAUAGUCAUUGUUUAUUGUAUCCCUUUCUCUCUUCAGAUCCCGGGAGCCCCAUUAUAUGCGUACGUUCUACUUUUGGUAGUUGAGCCACUGUUCUUGGGUAUUCUGUCCUGUUUGUUUUAUUUAUUUAUUUUUCAGUGUGCAUUUCAGUCUUGGAGUUUCUAUUGAGAUUCCUCAAGAUCAGAGACCCUUUCCUCACCAUGUGUAGUUUGCUGAAAAAACCCAUAAAAGGCUUUUUUUUCAUUUCAAUAACACUGUUUUUGGUCUGUAGCAUUUAUUUUUGGUUCCUUCUUUGAAUUUCCAUCUCUCUGCUAUGCUGCCCUUCUUUUAUCGCUGCCUACUUUAUCCAUUAGAGCCUGAGAAUAUUAAUCACAGUUGUUUAAAAUUCUCAGCCUGAAAAUUACAACAACACUGCCAUAUCCAAGAUUGGUUCUGAUGCUUGCUUUGUCUCUUCAAUCUGUGGGUGUUGGGUGUUUUUUUUUUGGUUUGUUUUUGUUUUACAUUUUAGUAUGUCAUAGUUUUUUUCUUGAUAGCUGGACAUGAGGUACUGUCUACAAUAAGCAGACAUUUGUAAUGAGGUGGUGAGGUGUCGGGGAGGGAGGUGUCCUAUAGUCCUAUGAUUAGGGCUCAGUCUUUUAGUGAUCCUGCACCUCGAGACUGUGAAACUUCACAAGUUCCCUACCCAAACCUCAGGCAAGACAGGACGGCUAGAGUGGGAUGAGCUUGGGUAUUUCACGUCCCUGAAAUCAAUUAGGCUCUGAUGAAACCUAGCUGAUGAGGCUCUACUUAACUAGUUUCUCCUGCUGGUGGACCUGUGAAGAAGAACAUGGCUGUCUGAUUUCAGAAUGGUUCCUUUCCACCUCUCUCUGCUGGAGGCUAAAGAAGAGUUUUUUGCUCCAGCUUUUCUUUGAGGUCUUGGUGGGGCUCCUGGAGGUUAAACCCACAAAAGUGUGCUUUCCUCCCAGUGCCUGGGUGCUCUGGAGUUUCUACCCCUCAAAUUGAGGCUUCCACAGUUUUGUCGGUUACGCUUGAGGUUCUCCUGCUCCAGGCUGGUUGCUGUGGGGGCUUCCACUCAUGGAUUUCUGCGCUGGCCAUGAAAGCAAAAUGAAAAAGAUCCUGGGGCCUGUAAAAAUUUGGGAAGGAGAGGCACCCUGCUAAUCGAAUUGUUGAGGAGCCCCCAAAGAGAGUGUUGCUGAAUUUCCCGGUGAGCCUAACAAGCACAUGAUGAAGACGUCAAAGCAGAGGCACCAAAAGUUUUUUUAAAAAUGUUCGUUUAAUAAUAUUUCAAAAAGAAGAGAAAACCUAGAUGCUUCUGGGGGAGAAUCAGAGUGCUGAGGCAUGCUUCACACCCAGGUCGUCGUUUGAUGUUUCGUGGUGAGCAGUGCUUCUCAGUCUCUUCCAUCCUUCAUGCUUCUCUGCAGCCCCGAUAGAGUCCUGGCAACAGCGUGGAUCCCUGCACCUCAUGGACGGCAUCAGGCACAAAGAGAAGUCCAAGAACCAUCAGAUCACAAGAGGAGACUCUCUUGGAAGGAACUAUAGCUGUCAGUCAUCGUAUGCGUGCAAGUACAUACAAAUCUACUUAAGUGGACAGUGCAGUUCCCGAGCACCCGAGUACAAAGUAGAGCGAUACAAUCUCAGCAGAAAGGAAGACAAGCUUCUCGAAGACGGGACAGCGUGGCCGAAAGGCACUCGCCCUGGGCUGCUCAGGAGUGGAAGUGCGGUCUUUGCAAGUCAGUGAAAGGCUUAGUUUCCUCAUUUUCAGCCUCCUCAUCUUCAACAUGCAGGACUAGACUGAAGGAUCUAUUAAGAGCCUUCAGCUUAAAAAAUAAAUAAAUACAAAAGAACAAAAACAAGAACGGGUGACACUUCCUUUUUGAUCCCAACACAAGCGCAGUUGCACAUCCUCUGUGAACUGACGGAGGACCCGGAGGCAGAGAUGUCAGCAGACGACGCCAACAUGUUUGUAAUUCAUGAACCGCCUCGGUCAUGGACAGCUGAACACUGACCAAACGGAGAAACGAUCCUGACAAGAGGUAAGCAAGUCCAGAAUCCUCAGAGCUGCAAAAAUGUAAUGCUUAGUUAAUGCUAUUAUAUGAUCUUACAGCUAUGAGAAUUCAGAGGGGUUUUUUUUAACCUUUCCAAGGAAAUCGUUCUCUCGUUGGGAAAUCAUUUGAAAGCUACACAAUCUCUUUCCUGAUAAAAAUCAAACAAAAAUUAACAUGUGGCCUGCGAAAAUUGUAUGUAUAACUUCUGGGUAUCCAUGAACCUAGAGAGGUCUAUCCGUGCGACCCCUGACCAAGUCGUUGCCGUCAUUUAAAAGGUAAGUGACUUGGAGUUCCCGUGGUGACUCGGUGGUAGCAAACUCAACUAGUAUCUUUGAGGAUGCAGGUUCAAUCCCUGGCCCUACUCAGUGGGUUAAGGA